UCCUGAAAUUUUUUGAUGCGGUUGAAUAUUGAAGUGGUGGAUCAAAUAUUUAAAUAGUAAGACAAAAAAAGGAUAAAAAUUUAAAGAAUAAGAGUAUCAUAUAAUUUUGUCUGAAUGGGACGUUCUUCGUCAUACGUUUGCUUCUGAGUAUCCAUUCAACUUACCGAAAAAGUGAUUGCCCUCUCUCUGGCCGUCUCCCUAAGAAGUCACCAACACGAAAAACACACAGCUUGGCGCUCGCACACAACAAAACCCUAUUUCCCCUUUCUUCUUCACACAUUUGACAUACCACAUACACCUCUCUCUCUGUUUCAUUCCAACCCAUUCGCUAUCUUGUUUCCUCCUAGUGCAUAACUAAAUUCCCAACGCAUUCAAACGUCAUCGUUUCACUUCCACGAUCAAAUCACUGCCUAGGGAAGCAUUUCCCUAUCUGCAUCAAUCACCUGCGUGCGUAAUUGCUCUAGGGUUUUUCUGUGUUGCGCACUGAAUUCAUCUUUUCCCUCUACGGGUUCCUAUUUUAUUCUUUGUCUGCUUCCCCUCUUCUAUACUGGGUGCUGUUUUGUUCCAUUCCUAGAGGUCUGCCAUUUUUGCCAAUAGUUGUUUUUCUUUUUUUUUUUUCUUAAAUCUAUUUUCUCACCCUCUUCCUGAUGGAGAGGUGAGAGUUCUCUUUGAUUACUUUAUAGUUCUUAUAUUCAUCUUUGGUCCAAAGAUGAUGCUGGAGUGUCUGAGAGGAAGUUCUUCCUUCACAAACACUGACUUGUGUUUCAAGUCAUGGGGGUUGUUGUCUGCUUGAUUGGG
Non-coding RNA from Arachis ipaensis, 798 nucleotides. Lineage: Eukaryota; Viridiplantae; Streptophyta; Magnoliopsida; Fabales; Fabaceae. The record is from RefSeq and is a predicted model, not a curated record.